GAGCGGCGGACGGGUGAGUAACGCGUGGGAAUAUGCCCUUCUCUAAGGAAUAGCCUCUGGAAACGGAGAGUAAUACCUUAUACGCCCUUUGGGGGAAAGAUUUAUCGGAGAAGGAUUAGCCCGCGUUAGAUUAGGUAGUUGGUGGGGUAAUGGCCUACCAAGCCUACGAUCUAUAGCUGGUUUGAGAGGAUGAUCAGCCACACUGGGACUGAGACACGGCCCAGACUCCUACGGGAGGCAGCAGUAGGGAAUCUUAGACAAUGGGGGCAACCCUGAUCUAGCCAUGCCGCGUGUGUGAUGAAGGCCCUAGGGUCGUAAAGCACUUUCGCCAGAGAUGAUAAUGACAGUAUCUGGUAAAGAAACCCCGGCUAACUCCGUGCCAGCAGCCGCGGUAAUACGGAGGGGGUUAGCGUUGUUCGGAAUUACUGGGCGUAAAGCGCACGUAGGCGGAUUAGUAAGUUAGAGGUGAAAUCCCAGGGCUCAACCCUGGAACUGCCUUUAAUACUGCUAGUCUUGAGUUCGAGAGAGGUAAGUGGAAUUCCGAGUGUAGAGGUGAAAUUCGUAGAUAUUCGGAGGAACACCAGUGGCGAAGGCGGCUUACUGGCUCGAUACUGACGCUGAGGUGCGAAAGUGUGGGGAGCAAACAGGAUUAGAUACCCUGGUAGUCCACACCGUAAACGAUGAAUGCCAGACGUCAGCAAGUAUACUUGUUGGUGUCACACCUAACGGAUUAAGCAUC
RNAcentral lists this ribosomal RNA (739 nucleotides) under uncultured Planktomarina sp. Its description in RNAcentral is "bacterial SSU rRNA". It matches the Rfam family "Bacterial small subunit ribosomal RNA", at positions 93 to 868 of the family's 1533-position model. Lineage: Bacteria; Pseudomonadati; Pseudomonadota; Alphaproteobacteria; Rhodobacterales; Paracoccaceae. The record is from RNAcentral.